RNAcentral lists this non-coding RNA (245 nucleotides) under Clostridium sp. Its description in RNAcentral is "T-box sequence". It matches the Rfam family "T-box leader". Rfam says of the family: Uncharged tRNA acts as the effector for transcription antitermination of genes in the T-box leader family. T-boxes are found upstream of many aminoacyl-tRNA synthetase genes and some amino acid biosynthetic genes usually in Gram-positive bacteria. The anticodon of a specific tRNA base pairs to a specifier sequence within the T-box motif, and the NCCA acceptor tail of the tRNA base pairs to a conserved bulge in the T-box antiterminator hairpin. Lineage: Bacteria; Bacillati; Bacillota; Clostridia; Eubacteriales; Clostridiaceae. The record is from RNAcentral.
UCAAAAGCUGGGAAGAGGAAUAGUAGCUGUUCAAACUUCAUACAGAAAGCUGUUGGUUGAUGCGAAACAGUUGAAUGUCAGACAGUGAACUCGCCUUGGAGCUGCCGGUUGAACCAUAGUAGAUCAGGACGGAUUCCCACCGUUACAGGGGAAAGGUAUUGGAUUCGUAUUUCUUGUACCUGUGAGAGCAUGAAUGAUUCAUGAAUAAGAGUGGUACCGCGUGAGAAUAUUCUCCCGUCUCUAAG